RNAcentral lists this ribosomal RNA (238 nucleotides) under uncultured bacterium. Its description in RNAcentral is "partial 16S ribosomal RNA". It matches the Rfam family "Bacterial small subunit ribosomal RNA", at positions 15 to 249 of the family's 1533-position model. The record is from RNAcentral.
GAUCAUGGCUCAGGAUGAACGCUAGCGACAGGCUUAACACAUGCAAGUCGAGGGGCAUCAUGAGGUAGCAAUACCUUGAUGGCGACCGGCGCACGGGUGAGUAACGCGUAUGCAACCUGCCCGAUACCGGGGUAUAGCCCAUGGAAACGUGGAUUAACACCCCAUAGUACUUUUAUCCUGCAUGGGAUGGGAGUUAAAUGUUCAAGGUAUCGGAUGGGCAUGCGUCCUAUUAGUUUAG